Long non-coding RNA from Melopsittacus undulatus (budgerigar), 3203 nucleotides. RefSeq lists it as uncharacterized. The record is from RefSeq and is a predicted model, not a curated record. The transcript is spliced from 8 exons. NCBI's taxonomy places the organism in Eukaryota, Metazoa, Chordata, Aves, Psittaciformes, Psittaculidae.
GGGCUGAGGGAUGAGCUCUGCUCUGCGCCGGGGAAGGUGGAGCGGGCCCCGCUGGGGCUGCCGCGCCGCAUCCCCUGAGCCCCGCUCCCCCCUGCCCUGCGCAGCGUGAGCCCCGAGGUUGUGUGAGGAUUAAUUAAGCGGGGCCUCAGCCGCUUCCAGGGCAGCUCUCAUAAGUCCUACCUGUGCAAAGCAAAGGCUGUUUGUGCAGGAAACAGGCAGAAAUUCCCAAGGGGCGGUACGUGCCGAGAGGGGAGGGCUGGGAGCUGCUGAGGGGACAUCAAACACAUAGCGUGCAACCCCUGUGCCUGCAGGAGACGAGGAGCAGCUGUGGGACAGCCGCCCUCUGUGUGCAGCCGGCCGGCCUCCACCUGGGCGUGAGGCACGAAGAGCUUUGCAGUUACUGCGGCUGCACCGCAAACCGAGCGAGCUCUGGGAGCUCCGGCUUGGAAACGCACAGCACUGCAUAUUCACUGCUAAACAGGCUGUCCCCUUUAAUACUCAGAUGCUCAUUCAGCUGGUGAUGUGUAAAACAGAAGAUAGCAAAUAUGCAGAGUACAACCAAGUUGUAGUGACUUGAUUUUGAGUUGCAUAAGUAGUGAUGCAACAAUCCUAUCGCGUUAGGAUCCAUCUUUUCUAUGAGAGCACCAGGACUGAGGGAUGUAAUAACGUCUAUCUAGAGGCACAGAGGCUCAGCACAUGGGAAGGGAAGAGGAAAGCACCAUGUAACACUUGGGCAGCAUGGAGGAAGUCCUCCUGUGGUCUGAAGUCUGGGCUUAGCAUCUCAGAUCAUCCACAGAAAGGAGCAGCACAAGUAAGGCCAUGACACAUGAACAGUGAUCUUGUUCUCAGAGACAGAAAAGGAGAGGCUGGUUUGUGCAGAGGGAUUCCCCCGGCUCCGCUCAACACUUCCUGCAGUUUCAUGCCCACAUUUUCCACAAGUAUUGUUUUCCUGCAAUGUAAAGAGAGGCAUUAAACAGGAAAAAAAAAAAAACAACCAAAACCAGGAAAGUCAGAUUUCAUUUUGACAAGCACAGUAUUGCCAAGGAGUCUGCACUUGCAGCUGGACUGCAAUAAAUAGACAGACAAUCAUUGACUUGCAUUACAUUUGAUCAGUCCCCAGGUUCUCCAGAACAAUGACUUGGGACUCAUUUUUCUAUCAAGGUAUCCUUUAAAAAGGGAGUGAAACAAAGCCAAACAUAGGAGUUUUGCAAGCUGCCAUCGAGACCUGUGAGCUCCAUGGGAGGUCUACACACGCCAGUGGUCAGUUACAUCAAUCUAGAGGCAUCAUGGCUCUGUGAGCACGGAUCUCUGUUACGUGGUCUCAGGGGGAAGAGAUUUCUGUGUCCACCAGCUGAGGAACGAUGAGCUGUGUGAUGAACAUGCCUCCUUGCCCUUCCUUCAAACUUAAAACUGUCCAGGCUUGCUGGAAUCACCACCUUUAGGGAGCAGAGAUUCUCAACACCACACAGGAACAGUGUGGCUAUCAGUGUGGUAUUGCUAAGAGACUGCAACCAUCACAACCAUCUCCAGCACAACUUGUAGAUGACUGAAAUCCUUACAGCAACUUGGGAAUAUCCUAACAGAAGAGCAGAACCUGACCGUAUGUGUUGAGAAGAAGUGAAAGAUGCUUCAUGGCUUUAGGAUGAUGUCACUUACUAAAAGCACUGAAGCUGGUGAUUGUUUCUAUUUGGUUGAAGAGAACAACUAGAUGUGACUAUCCUCUGCCUAAAUAUUAAAGAGAAACCUGCAAAACAAGAAUUGCAAGCUUCAUUAAGACAUAACAAGCCAAAAUAAUUCUUGAGCCAAGGCAGAGCCCAGGAUAAGGUUUGAAGUUCUGACUGUCGUGGUUUAAGCCCACCUCGUAACUCAGCAUCACACAGCCACUCGCUGGCUCCUCCUUUCUCCCAGAGGGAUGGGGAGCAGGAGUGAAUGGAUUCCUUCAAACAGAUGCAACAGUUUUGAUUUGCUCAGGGUGAUUUACUGGCUAUAUCAAGUCACAAAGCUUUCAAUGACAGUAAGUCUACAGAUUGCCACCACAAUUAGGCCUGCAGUUUUCUGGCCGCAAGGACAGUACAAUCAGCAGAACACAAGGAGGAGAUAGAAAAGUUGUAUUGCAGUUGUCCUGUCAGUCUGAAAUCCCCAAGUCCUGUUAAAGGCCUCAUGCAGAAGCAGGCUCGAGUACUUGCAGAAAAGUAAAGAUUUGACGAAAAAAUGGAGGAGAACUGAUUUUUCUCUCUGCAGGCUGCCUUACUGACAUGGAUGUUGUUGGGUUGGGUUUUUUUUAAUGCAGUGUAGGCACACUCGUGAUUAAGAAGCUCUGUGCACUCCCUUAGCCCCACACAUUAUUUCUCUUCCUUUAUCACCUGAACAAAAGAGUAGUAACUAGAACUAAAAGUAUGACUACUUGUGAGCAAGAUUGUAACGUACCCAGGGCAACCAAAAGCCAUGAAAACUGUGCUGAAUUAUGACAGCAGAGAUGAAAAGAGUAAUUAAGGCGAAGCAAUGUUGAGUUCAAAGCUUGCUGGCAAUGUUGAUGUUUUCACACCACUGUUAAAUAAAGACCAGAAUGAGAGCUGGCAACAGAUGCAGUGAGACACUGUAGUCUGACACUCAGGGACAGGCCUGAAGGGCUCAUCCCUGUUUCAGACCCUGGUGCUGAUACAACCCAGCUGGUUUAGCUCUGUUGUGAAACACAACAGCCCACAAAUACAAAUACAACCAACUAAAGUCCAUCUUAAACUGCACUGAACAGGCAGGGAAGGACAUCCGUUGUUACUCAUACGCUAAGAAAAGAAAGCUAAUGAUAGUGCUAUAAUAUUAGAUUUACAGCUUGAGGAAAGGUCAACCCAGCAUCUCCACGCUGACAUUUUACUCCCAGUCCCAGGGCCUGGUGGGGCUCUUUCUCUCUUGGGAAGGACAUUUCAACACAGUGUUUAAACAGGGGGGUUUAAACCAAAGCAUGACGACCAAAUUAACAGAGUAACCGUGGGUAUUGCCCCUGCAUUGUACUGCCCAGGCCUGUCAUACAGGAGUGGGCUUGUGCAACACUUGGUGCUAAUUCUUUUACCAAGUUCCUAGGCAAAAGGGACAGGGUUUAUGUAGGAAUUCUCAUGGCUGCGUGAGGCAUUUACCUCACCCGACAAGUGGCAGCAUUAUUUAUAACUUUUAUGUAAGACAUCCUAAGAGUGCACUUUGUGCAGAAA